ACCCGGGUGGCGAAAUGGUAGACGCGCGGGACUUAAAAUCCCUUGCCUGCAAGGGCGUGCCGGUUCGAGUCCGGCCCCGGGUA
RNAcentral lists this transfer RNA (83 nucleotides) under Gemmatimonadota bacterium. Its description in RNAcentral is "tRNA-Leu". It matches the Rfam family "tRNA". From Rfam's summary of the family: Transfer RNA (tRNA) molecules are approximately 80 nucleotides in length. Their secondary structure includes four short double-helical elements and three loops (D, anti-codon, and T loops). Further hydrogen bonds mediate the characteristic L-shaped molecular structure. tRNAs have two regions of fundamental functional importance: the anti-codon, which is responsible for specific mRNA codon recognition, and the 3' end, to which the tRNAs corresponding amino acid is attached (by aminoacyl-tRNA synthetases). tRNAs cope with the degeneracy of the genetic code in two manners: having more than one tRNA (with a specific anti-codon) for a particular amino acid; and 'wobble' base-pairing, i.e. permitting non-standard base-pairing at the 3rd anti-codon position. The record is from RNAcentral. Lineage: Bacteria; Pseudomonadati; Gemmatimonadota.